RNAcentral lists this ribosomal RNA (292 nucleotides) under uncultured bacterium. RNAcentral describes it as "partial 16S ribosomal RNA". It matches the Rfam family "Bacterial small subunit ribosomal RNA", at positions 505 to 796 of the family's 1533-position model. The record is from RNAcentral.
GUGUCAGCCGCCGCGGUAAUACGUAGGGUGCGAGCGUUAAUCGGAAUUACUGGGCGUAAAGCGUGCGUAGGCGGUUCGUUGUGUCUGUGGUGAAAGCCCCGGGCUUAACCUGCGAAUUGCCAUGGAAACUGGCGAGCUUGAGUGUGGCAGAGGGGGGUGGAAUUCCGCGUGUAGCAGUGAAAUGCGUAGAUAUCGGGAGGAACACCAGUGGCGAAGGCGGUUGCCUGGGGCUUUGCUGACGCUGAUGCGCGAAAUCGUGGGGAGCGAUCCGGAUUAGAUACCCCUGUAGUCC